Molecule: ribosomal RNA, 158 nt
Filed under: Russula umerensis
Lineage: Eukaryota; Fungi; Basidiomycota; Agaricomycetes; Russulales; Russulaceae
Description: 5.8S ribosomal RNA
Rfam family: 5.8S ribosomal RNA
About the family: 5.8S ribosomal RNA (5.8S rRNA) is a component of the large subunit of the eukaryotic ribosome. It is transcribed by RNA polymerase I as part of the 45S precursor that also contains 18S and 28S rRNA. Functionally, it is thought that 5.8S rRNA may be involved in ribosome translocation.
Source: RNAcentral
CAACUUUCAACAACGGAUCUCUUGGCUCUCGCAUCGAUGAAGAACGCAGCGAAAUGCGAUACGUAAUGUGAAUUGCAGAAUUCAGUGAAUCAUCGAAUCUUUGAACGCACCUUGCCCCCCUUGGCAUUCCGAGGGGCACACCCGUUUGAGUGUCGUGA